Molecule: ribosomal RNA, 484 nt
Filed under: uncultured bacterium
Lineage: Bacteria
Description: partial 16S ribosomal RNA
Rfam family: Bacterial small subunit ribosomal RNA
Source: RNAcentral
AUUGAACGCUGGCGGCAGGCCUAACACAUGCAAGUCGAGCGGAUGAAGGGAGCUUGCUCCUGGAUUCAGCGGCGGACGGGUGAGUAAUGCCUAGGAAUCUGCCUGGUAGUGGGGGAUAACGUCCGGAAACGGGCGCUAAUACCGCAUACGUCCUGAGGGAGGAAGUGGGGGAUCUUCGGACCUCACGCUAUCAGAUGAGCCUAGGUCGGAUUAGCUAGUUGGUGGGGUAAAGGCCUACCAAGGCGACGAUCCGUAACUGGUCUGAGAGGAUGAUCAGUCACACUGGAACUGAGACACGGUCCAGACUCCUACGGGAGGCAGCAGUGGGGAAUAUUGGACAAUGGGCGAAAGCCUGAUCCAGCCAUGCCGCGUGUGUGAAGAAGGUCUUCGGAUUGUAAAGCACUUUAGGUUGGGAGGAAGGGCAGUAAGUUAAUACCUUGCUGUUUUGACGUUACCAACAGAAUAAGCACCGGCUAACUUCGUG